CAGUAGCCGCGGGAAUACGUAGGUGGCAAGCGUUGUCCGGAAUUAUUGGGCGUAAAGGGCUCGCAGGCGGUUUCUUAAGUCUGAUGUGAAAGCCCCCGGCUCAACCGGGGAGGGUCAUUGGAAACUGGGAAACUUGAGUGCAGAAGAGGAGAGUGGAAUUCCACGUGUAGCGGUGAAAUGCGUAGAGAUGUGGAGGAACACCAGUGGCGAAGGCGACUCUCUGGUCUGUAACUGACGCUGAGGAGCGAAAGCGUGGGGAGCGAACAGGAUUAGAUACCCCUGUAGUCCCUGUCUCUUAUAC
This 301-nucleotide ribosomal RNA is filed under the name uncultured bacterium. RNAcentral's name for it is "partial 16S ribosomal RNA". It matches the Rfam family "Bacterial small subunit ribosomal RNA", at positions 509 to 807 of the family's 1533-position model. The record is from RNAcentral.